UGGGGAAUCUUGGACAAUGGGGGAAACCCUGAUCCAGCGAUGCCGCGUGAGUGAUGAAGGCCUUCGGGUUGUAAAACUCUUUCGACGGGGACGAUAAUGACGGUACCCGUAGAAGAAGCUCCGGCUAACUUCGUGCCAGCAGCCGCGGUAAUACGAAGGGGGCUAGCGUUGUUCGGAAUUACUGGGCGUAAAGCGCGCGCAGGCGGCCAUUCAAGUCAGGGGUGAAAGCCCAGAGCUCAACUCUGGAACUGCCUUUGAAACUGUAUGGCUUGAGUAUGAGAGAGGUGAGUGGAAUUCCCAGUGUAGAGGUGAAAUUCGUAGAUAUUGGGAAGAACACCGGUGGCGAAGGCGGCUCACUGGCUCAUUACUGACGCUCAGGCGCGACAGCGUGGGGAUCAAACA
Molecule: ribosomal RNA, 402 nt
Filed under: uncultured bacterium
Lineage: Bacteria
Description: bacterial SSU rRNA
Rfam family: Bacterial small subunit ribosomal RNA
Source: RNAcentral